UGCGCAGGCGGUUCGUUAAGACAGAUGUGAAAUCCCCGGGCUUAACCUGGGAACUGCAUUUGUGACUGGCGGGCUGGAGUAUGGCAGAGGGGGGUAGAAUUCCACGUGUAGCAGUGAAAUGCGUAGAGAUGUGGAGGAAUACCGAUGGCGAAGGCAGCCCCCUGGGCCAAUACUGACGCUCAUGCACGAAAGCGUGGGGAGCAAACAGGAUUAGAUACCCUGGUAGUCCACGCCCUAAACGAUGUCAACUGGUUGUCGGGCCUUCAUUGGCUUGGUAACGUAGCUAACGCGUGAAGUUGACCGCCUGGGGAGUACGGUCGCAAGAUUAAA
Molecule: ribosomal RNA, 330 nt
Filed under: uncultured bacterium
Lineage: Bacteria
Description: bacterial SSU rRNA
Rfam family: Bacterial small subunit ribosomal RNA
Source: RNAcentral